GCGGAUGUAGUUCAGUGGUAGAACUUCAGCUUCCCAAGCUGACGGUGCGGGUUCGAUUCCCGUCAUCCGCU
RNAcentral lists this transfer RNA (71 nucleotides) under Candidatus Ancillula glyptotermitis. Its description in RNAcentral is "tRNA-Gly". It matches the Rfam family "tRNA". Rfam says of the family: Transfer RNA (tRNA) molecules are approximately 80 nucleotides in length. Their secondary structure includes four short double-helical elements and three loops (D, anti-codon, and T loops). Further hydrogen bonds mediate the characteristic L-shaped molecular structure. tRNAs have two regions of fundamental functional importance: the anti-codon, which is responsible for specific mRNA codon recognition, and the 3' end, to which the tRNAs corresponding amino acid is attached (by aminoacyl-tRNA synthetases). tRNAs cope with the degeneracy of the genetic code in two manners: having more than one tRNA (with a specific anti-codon) for a particular amino acid; and 'wobble' base-pairing, i.e. permitting non-standard base-pairing at the 3rd anti-codon position. Lineage: Bacteria; Bacillati; Actinomycetota; Actinomycetes; Bifidobacteriales; Bifidobacteriaceae. The record is from RNAcentral.